This 643-nucleotide ribosomal RNA is filed under the name uncultured bacterium. RNAcentral's name for it is "bacterial SSU rRNA". It matches the Rfam family "Bacterial small subunit ribosomal RNA", at positions 232 to 885 of the family's 1533-position model. The record is from RNAcentral.
CGCGGCCUAUCAGCUUGUUGGUGGGGUAAUGGCCUACCAAGGCGUCGACGGGUAGCCGGCCUGAGAGGGUGGACGGCCACAUUGGGACUGAGAUACGGCCCAGACUCCUACGGGAGGCAGCAGUGGGGAAUAUUGCACAAUGGGCGGAAGCCUGAUGCAGCGACGCCGCGUGGGGGAUGACGGCCUUCGGGUUGUAAACCUCUUUCGACAGGGACGAAGUGAAGAUGACGGUACCUGUAUAAGAAGCACCGGCUAACUACGUGCCAGCAGCCGCGGUAAUACGUAGGGUGCGAGCGUUGUCCGGAAUUACUGGGCGUAAAGAGCUCGUAGGUGGUUUGUCACGUCGUCUGUGAAAUUCCGGGGCUUAACCUCGGGCGUGCAGGCGAUACGGGCAAUACUUGAGUGCUGUAGGGGAGACUGGAAUUCCUGGUGUAGCGGUGAAAUGCGCAGAUAUCAGGAGGAACACCAAUGGCGAAGGCAGGUCUCUGGGCAGUUACUGACGCUGAGGAGCGAAAGCAUGGGUAGCGAACAGGAUUAGAUACCCUGGUAGUCCAUGCCGUAAACGGUGGGCGCUAGGUGUAGGGGACUUCCACGUUCUCUGUGCCGUAGCUAACGCAUUAAGCGCCCCGCCUGGGGAGUACGG